This 647-nucleotide unclassified non-coding RNA is filed under the name Colletotrichum sp. AU-2016. RNAcentral describes it as "sequence contains ITS1, 5.8S rRNA gene and ITS2". The stretch from base 177 to 330 matches the Rfam family "5.8S ribosomal RNA". Lineage: Eukaryota; Fungi; Ascomycota; Sordariomycetes; Glomerellales; Glomerellaceae. The record is from RNAcentral.
ACCGCGCCCAACACCAGGACAACACCCUUUGAGACAUACCUAUAACUGUUGCUUCGGCGGGUAGGGUCUCCGCGACCCUCCCGGCCUCCCGCCUCCGGGCGGGUCGGCGCCCGCCGGAGGAUAACCAAACUCUGAUUUAACGACGUUUCUUCUGAGUGGUACAAGCAAAUAAUCAAAACUUUUAACAACGGAUCUCUUGGUUCUGGCAUCGAUGAAGAACGCAGCGAAAUGCGAUAAGUAAUGUGAAUUGCAGAAUUCAGUGAAUCAUCGAAUCUUUGAACGCACAUUGCGCCCGCCAGCAUUCUGGCGGGCAUGCCUGUUCGAGCGUCAUUUCAACCCUCAAGCUCUGCUUGGUGUUGGGGCCCUACAGCCGAUGUAGGCCCUCAAAGGUAGUGGCGGACCCUCUCGGAGCCUCCUUUGCGUAGUAACUUUACGUCUCGCACUGGGAUCCGGAGGGACUCUUGCCGUAAAACCCCCAAUUUUCCAAAGGUUGACCUCGGAUCAGGUGGGAAUACCCGCUGAACUUAAGCAUAUCAAAACCCGAGAGACAAAAGGGGGGGUUAAAAAACCUCAAACAAAACCAAACACAACACAGCAGAUGUGGAUAAGCCAAAAAAUUUUGUUCGGCACACUUUGGAGUCGUACAU